CAGUCGCCACGGGAACACGGAGGGUGCAAGCGUUAAUCGGAAUUACUGGGCGUAAAGCGCACGCAGGCGGUCUGACAAGUCAGAUGUGAAAUCCCCGGGCUUAACCUGGGAACUGCAUUUGAAACUGUCAGGCUGGAGUCUUGUAGAGGGGGGUAGAAUUCCAGGUGUAGCGGUGAAAUGCGUAGAGAUCUGGAGGAAUACCGGUGGCGAAGGCGGCCCCCUGGACAAAGACUGACGCUCAGGUGCGAAAGCGUGGGGAGCAAACAGGAUUAGAGACCCGUGUAGUCCCUGUCUCUUAUAC
Molecule: ribosomal RNA, 301 nt
Filed under: uncultured bacterium
Lineage: Bacteria
Description: partial 16S ribosomal RNA
Rfam family: Bacterial small subunit ribosomal RNA
Source: RNAcentral